UCAAGGCAUGCAAAGUUUCUACGCCAUAUGCGAACCAAACAUGGUGAUUGUGUACCACCUAUAGUCAUCUAUGGGCAUCAGUUUACCAGGGCCAGCCAUUACCAAGAUGCUGUGAGAGAAUAUCUUGCAGCUUAUAAACUAUUGCCGGAGAAUCCACUAGUUAAUCUUUGUGUGGGAACAGCCUUUAUCAAUUUAGCCCUUGGAUUUAGACUUCAAAACAAGCAUCAAUGUGUUGCACAAGGCUUAUCAUUCCUCUAUAACAAUUUACGGCUUGCUGAAAACAGUCAGG
Molecule: unclassified non-coding RNA, 289 nt
Filed under: Hevea brasiliensis (rubber tree)
Lineage: Eukaryota; Viridiplantae; Streptophyta; Magnoliopsida; Malpighiales; Euphorbiaceae
Source: RNAcentral